Long non-coding RNA from Anolis carolinensis (green anole), 3494 nucleotides. RefSeq lists it as uncharacterized. NCBI's taxonomy places the organism in Eukaryota, Metazoa, Chordata, Lepidosauria, Squamata, Anolidae. The record is from RefSeq and is a predicted model, not a curated record. The transcript is spliced from 2 exons.
CAUGUUUUGAAAGACAGCAGAUGACAGGCGCUGUCUUCAUAGACCUCUCAGCAGAUUAAAGGGGGCAGUCUGAACAGCAAUCGUAUCUCCCAAAGGUCCAGCUGCCUUCGGAGGACUGGGUCACAGGGGAGACGGUGCUCAGCGGCUGGCAAACCACGGGCUUCGACAUGGUCUCAGGGAAGACAGGCCUGAACUGCAGUUGCAAUGCCUUUGCAAAGAGGACUCUGGAGGCUUUUUAGCUGUGAACUUGAUGCUACAGUUACUUGUGGUAUCCGAUGGAUGAUGCCACAGGGUUUGAGCAAUGCAGGAAGUGGGCAUUGCAGCGGGUGCUGGGGCUAUUUUGAACCACAGUUAUAGUGUCAUGAUUCCAGUUUAAAUGCAAUGGCAACCAUCUAUGGAAUCUCAGUAUUUGGAGAUCAGGGAUAUUAGGAAUUUUCUUUCCCCAGAGCUCAGUACCUUCUAGUGCAUGUAUUUUAUAAUGGUGUGUUUUGAUAUAUGCAUUUUAUUGUAUGUAUUUUAUGUUGAUAUGUUUUUGGCUUUGUUGUUAGGAGAGGCGGGUAACAAAUAAAUUGUAUUAUUGUUAUCAUCAUCAUCAAACUGAAAGCGAUGGGAUCUCAAUCAUGAAUCAUACCAGAAAAUGGGGCCUGAGCUUCUCCAGAAGGCCUUCAAAGCACAAAGCUGGGGAAACUGUGCUGUGGGUCACUUGGCCAGGGAUGUUCCUGGCCAAACUCCUUGCCUCAGAGGCUUGUAGCCUUGCUGCCUUGCUGUUAUCACUGACCAGUGACUGGGGAUAACAAGUGAGGAUUCUCUUUCGCUCACUAUCUUCCCUCCAUCUGGGAAGGCAAGAUACCUACAAAAUGACCACCUUGCUCUACAUCCUCUCCAAGGGGGAGGCAGAACACCUUCACGGGGGCACCUGAUGGACACCCCAGGCUCCCCAUUUCUUACCAGGGAAGACCAAGGAGCUGUGGAGACAACUCUAUCUGGUGAAUCAACUGGGGAAUGGAUGAUAUCAUGGGAAGUGGCCCAAACAUUAUCCUCUCCUGCCCAAAAUCUGCCAUCUUUGCCCUACUUAAAACAGGAAGUUCUCAUGUGACACGAGUCUGGCCUUAGUGACCUUAAGUGUUGCAGGAUAAACAACCAACAGAUGUUAGGCAAGAAGUUACAGUAUCAACUACAAUAUUAACUGUAGCUAUUAUUAAUAUAUCACUGAGGGAGGGAAGUUUUCAAUUUGCAUUAAGUGGUGGGACUGCUUUUUUUUUUUAAUCCCUCUUUAAACAACUAUGGAUCAGUAUCCUAUUUUCUUUUUUUGGGCAAGCUGAUUUGCAAGGGUGGUUUCCCACCAACUCCAGGCAGUCCUGGAUGAUACAGGCAUACAUGAUAUUUGAGAUAACAAUUUAAACAUGUAAUGAGAGACACUUCCCCGCUCUGCACUUCCAAGUCCUCUGUCUGGAAGACAUUACAAGAGCUAAACCAUAAUUCCACUGAUCAUGGUUUGUUAACUGUAUCUAAGGCAGGAAGAAAACGCAUGUACAGAAAUGGCAGAGUGAAGGCAUGUAUAUUAAACAAUUUAUUGGCAUGUUCCUUUCUAGGUUGCUCAAUAUGAGCCCCUCUGACACAGGAAGGCUUUCAUCUAUACUGGGGUCCCUUUGGUCUGUUGCACCUUCUUUUUCUUUGACUUGGUUCUCCGUGGGGCCCUUUGCCUCGGUUUCAGCUUCCCCUCGGCUUUUAGCUUCUGCGCCUCUUGGAAAACCUAAAAGAUCAAGAGAAGACAUAGAGAAGGCAGUCAGGGAUCCAUCAGUACCUAGGCAAGGGCAUUUGCCUGGUCUCCAAUGAUUCCCUAUGGAGCUGGUUCCCUUCAUUUGCAUCCGUUUCACUUUCUAAGUCCAGGAUUGUGACCCCAAUAUAUUCUGAGACUCACUUGGUGGCCUCCAGCACGAACAUUUCCUAUCCUAACAAAAGUUCUCCUUUCUAUCUGAGCUGCAUUUUAAGCCACACCUAUCUGGGCUUCAAGGGUCUUAAAGAGAAUAAGAUAGUAUAAGAAUGAAGUUUUAAGGAAGUUGGAAAAGGAAAGACUGAGACAGGAGGGAAGAGGGAUUGGAGGACUUGAAAAAGAAAAUUUACUCUGCCAGUCUGUGAGUCAAAACAAGAGAGGAGUUGUAUAAAAGCACAUUUUUUCCUGUCACCUGAUGACUUUGCUCUGCAAAUUAAAGCUAUUGAUUUAAAUCUCCUCAUCUCUAGUGUCUGAUUGGAAUACAGAUACUAGGGGUUUGGGGACAAAAAGUCUCAAUAGUCCCACCUUGAGGCACAGGGCCUUUUUGGCCACCCAGCGCCGCGUGAUCCGGCGACAGAAAGCCGGAGGGGGCGUGUACUCGAUGCCCAGCUGCUGGCAAGUCUUCUCAAAGGCAUCGUAGCGGCUACGGCGCAGGUACUUCAGCAGCUUCCUCCGGCGGUCAAUGGCCAUCAUCAUGUGGCGGCGGUUGAACUUGUCCUGGAGGGGAAAAUGCAGUUCUACCGACUGUGCAAAAAUGCAAUGCGAGAGGUGGGAAACUACAUGAGGUGUAAGUUUGCUGUUUUCCUCUUUUGGCUGCCCUCUUCCAUAUAGGCCACACUAGCAUAUUCAUAGCUACCUGGAACCGCUUAUGGUUUUUACUUUGUCCAGUUUGGAUAUAUUUGAGAAACGUGAAUUUUGAGGUUUGUGGUAACUUUUUGAGACUGGUUUGGUCUUUGGAUUUGUCCAGGUCCUGAGGAUCUUGAAGGGAUUAAUGACUUCAUUUAGUUCACUUUCCCCCUGUACUGCAGCCCACUUUUAAAGGCUCUUCACUGAUUCCAUUGCCCGGUUAUAAAUCUAAUGACUAAAAUUAAUUGGAUUCACUUACUACAAAAUUACAGUGCAAGCAACUCUGUAUUUUCAUCCAUAAAGUUCAUUACAAAGUAAAAGUCAAUAAAAACAACUGUGAGAAGGAAAUGCUUUCAUCACCUUAUGUGAGAAUGUGAAACAUACCCUGUUACAGCAAAUCACAAGACUUAAAGUCACCUAAAAAAUUAAGCAACUUCCAUGCCAACCGAUAUUGUGCAAAAUGUCAUUUCAGUCUCGAACCCUACUAGCCAGCCAGUUUCAGCAUGAAAUACUAGCAACCUGCUUAUCAUCACCCAUGGGCUUCAUUGCCAUCUUCUCGUAACAUUUUGCUGACUUUGGAGUAAUUUUAUAAUGCUUCCUGCAAUAGGAUGCAAGAUAUGUAACCUGUUCUAGAGAAAGUUACCUUGGGGUGCAUAUGCAGAUGUUCCUGUAGUGUGCGGAUCUUGGCCGUCAAAUAUGCAACUGGAACAAAAGAAAACCACUAAGCAAAGGCUAUUUCCACAAGAUGAAACUGGGAUAUUUUCCUAUCCCAGUUUUAAUAAUUUGUAUUUAUUGACUAGAACAUAUCCUAUUCCCCUUGGGAAGAUGGGGCAAAAUAUAAAUAAAGCUAUUAUUAUUAUUGUUGUUAUUAUUA